ACGCUGCUUUUGAGCCCCUGUAGUGCCUGUUCAUAGGCUGGCGGGCAUCAGGCUACAUCACCAGAGCAGGCUUUUGCACAUAACUGGGGCUCUCUGUUUCCCGCUAGCAGCCCUUCAACUACAAGUGACAAGG
Non-coding RNA from Pteropus alecto (black flying fox), 133 nucleotides. Lineage: Eukaryota; Metazoa; Chordata; Mammalia; Chiroptera; Pteropodidae. The record is from Rfam.